RNAcentral lists this transfer RNA (68 nucleotides) under Amitermes conformis. Its description in RNAcentral is "tRNA-Trp". Lineage: Eukaryota; Metazoa; Arthropoda; Insecta; Blattodea; Termitidae. The record is from RNAcentral.
AAGGCCUUAAGUUAAAAAUAAACUAAUAACCUUCAAAGCUAUAAACAAAGGGAGCCCUUUAGGCCUUG